This 1046-nucleotide ribosomal RNA is filed under the name uncultured Cryobacterium sp. RNAcentral describes it as "bacterial SSU rRNA". It matches the Rfam family "Bacterial small subunit ribosomal RNA", at positions 350 to 1394 of the family's 1533-position model. Lineage: Bacteria; Bacillati; Actinomycetota; Actinomycetes; Micrococcales; Microbacteriaceae. The record is from RNAcentral.
AGCAGUGGGGAAUAUUGCACAAUGGGCGCAAGCCUGAUGCAGCAACGCCGCGUGAGGGACGAAGGCCUUCGGGUUGUAAACCUCUUUUAGUAGGGAAGAAGCGACUGGGUUUUCCUGGGAGUGACGGUACCUGCAGAAAAAGCACCGGCUAACUACGUGCCAGCAGCCGCGGUAAUACGUAGGGUGCAAGCGUUGUCCGGAAUUAUUGGGCGUAAAGAGCUCGUAGGCGGUUUGUCGCGUCUGCUGUGAAAACCCGAGGCUCAACCUCGGGCCUGCAGUGGGUACGGGCAGACUAGAGUGCGGUAGGGGAGAUUGGAAUUCCUGGUGUAGCGGUGGAAUGCGCAGAUAUCAGGAGGAACACCAAUGGCGAAGGCAGAUCUCUGGGCCGUAACUGACGCUGAGGAGCGAAAGCAUGGGGAGCGAACAGGAUUAGAUACCCUGGUAGUCCAUGCCGUAAACGUUGGGAACUAGAUGUGGGGACCAUUCCACGGUCUCCGUGUCGCAGCUAACGCAUUAAGUUCCCCGCCUGGGGAGUACGGCCGCAAGGCUAAAACUCAAAGGAAUUGACGGGGGCCCGCACAAGCGGCGGAGCAUGCGGAUUAAUUCGAUGCAACGCGAAGAACCUUACCAAGGCUUGACAUAUACCGGAAACGGCUGGAAACAGUCGCCCCGCAAGGUCGGUAUACAGGUGGUGCAUGGUUGUCGUCAGCUCGUGUCGUGAGAUGUUGGGUUAAGUCCCGCAACGAGCGCAACCCUCGUCCUAUGUUGCCAGCACGUAAUGGUGGGAACUCAUGGGAUACUGCCGGGGUCAACUCGGAGGAAGGUGGGGAUGACGUCAAAUCAUCAUGCCCCUUAUGUCUUGGGCUUCACGCAUGCUACAAUGGCCGGUACAAAGGGAUGCGAUACCGCAAGGUGGAGCGAAUCCCAAGAAGCCGGUCUCAGUUCGGAUUGAGGUCUGCAACUCGACCUCAUGAAGUCGGAGUCGCUAGUAAUCGCAGAUCAGCUACGCUGCGGUGAAUACGUUCCCGGGCCUUGUACACACCGCC